This 109-nucleotide transfer RNA is filed under the name Auriscalpium vulgare. RNAcentral describes it as "tRNA-Lys". It matches the Rfam family "tRNA". From Rfam's summary of the family: Transfer RNA (tRNA) molecules are approximately 80 nucleotides in length. Their secondary structure includes four short double-helical elements and three loops (D, anti-codon, and T loops). The record is from RNAcentral. Lineage: Eukaryota; Fungi; Basidiomycota; Agaricomycetes; Russulales; Auriscalpiaceae.
GCCCGCCUAGCUCAAUCGGAUAGAGCGCAAGACUUUUAAGGCGGGUUGGAUCAUUGAUCCAGCUCUUAAGAGCAUCUUGAGGCUGCGAGUUCGACCCUCGCGGUGGGCU